Molecule: ribosomal RNA, 231 nt
Filed under: uncultured bacterium
Lineage: Bacteria
Description: partial 16S ribosomal RNA
Rfam family: Bacterial small subunit ribosomal RNA
Source: RNAcentral
CCUAGCGGCAGACGGGUGCGUAACAUGUGGGAAUCUGCCUUUUGGUUCGGAAUAACACGAGGAAACUUGUGCUAAUACCGGAUAAGCCCUUACGGGGAAAGUUUUAAUGCCAAAAGAUGAGCCCGCACUUGAUUAGCUAGUUGGUGAGGUAAUGGCUCAACAAGACUACAAUCAAUAGCUGAUUUGAGAGGAUGAUCAGCCACACUGGGACUGAGAUACGGCCCAGACUCC